GUUUUCAUUUCACCUUUCUCAGUAAUCUGGGUGUAGCUUAUUUUGACUCUUCCUUUGAUUAAACAAUUCAGACCCUUGGCUCUUAUUGUUCUUGCUGGUGUGGUAUGUUCACGGCUGAAAAGAUGGUCAGAAGGGGAAAGGAGGAAGUGAGAAGAAAGAAACAGGGAAAUGCAGGCUGAGGAAUUACCAAGGAGGCAGGAGGUGGAGCAAAACACACCAAGCCUGGUGCCAAUCAUUGACAAUAUUAUGGAACUGACUCAGCGCAAGAAGACAGCUUCGACUCCUUGUGAUUUCAUCCCUAACCAAUCAGCACUCCUGGCUCACUGGCUUCCCCCAACCCACCAAAUUGUCCUUAAAAACUCUGCUCUCCAAACGCUGGGGGAGACUGAUUUGAGUAAUAAUAAAACCCUGGUCUCCUGCA
RNAcentral lists this long non-coding RNA (421 nucleotides) under Homo sapiens (human). RNAcentral describes it as "PCED1B antisense RNA 1". The record is from RNAcentral. Lineage: Eukaryota; Metazoa; Chordata; Mammalia; Primates; Hominidae.